CCAAAUUUCACAUCUCAUUCUUUCCAUCAUAUAAAACACAUCUGCCCAAGAGUAGUUCAUCUUCAGUUUUCAGAAAGCGAGGAAGAGAAGGUAUUUUUGCAUCAUUUCUCAUCUGAGCAGGAUACAAUCCGCAGGUCCUAGCUGACAACGUCUCGGAUAAAGGACAAUUUAUUCUCAGCUACUCCCACAACAACCACAACUGCUCCAACAACAACCACAGCUGCUCCAACAACAACCACAGCUACUCCCACAACAACCACA
Long non-coding RNA from Oncorhynchus tshawytscha (Chinook salmon), 261 nucleotides. NCBI's taxonomy places the organism in Eukaryota, Metazoa, Chordata, Actinopteri, Salmoniformes, Salmonidae. The record is from Ensembl.